Oncorhynchus tshawytscha (Chinook salmon) is the source of this 524-nucleotide long non-coding RNA. The record is from Ensembl. Lineage: Eukaryota; Metazoa; Chordata; Actinopteri; Salmoniformes; Salmonidae.
ACUAGUUCAGUGGUUAGGCCUACUAGUUACCGGCAGUGGUUAGGUCUACUAGUUCAGUGGUUAGGCCUACUAGUUACCGGCAGUGGUUAGGUCUACUAGUUACCGGCAGUGGUUAGGUCUACUAGUUACCGGCAGUGGUUAGGUCUACUAGUUCAGUGGUUAGGCCUACUAGUUACCGGCAGUGGUUAGGUCUACUAGUUCAGUGGUUAGGCCUACUAGUUACCGGCAGUGGUUAGGUCUACUAGUUACCGGCAGUGGUUAGGCCUACUAGUUACCGGCAGUGGUUAGGCCUACUAGUUAUCGGCAGUGGUUAGGUCUACUAGUUACCGGCAGUGGUUAGGUCUACUAGUUACCGUCAGUGGUUAGGCCUACUAGUUACCGUCAGUGGUUCUGACCUGGUAGAGGUGGUAACUGUUUCUCCUCCCUGGUGACCAGCUGCUCCAGGGGUUUUGGCAGGGCAGGAACCUCCUCUGCUAACUUGGCUGGUACCGCUGUUGGCUUCAAGAUCCUCUCCUCCUCACGAC